UCCCUGCCCUUUGUACACACCGCCCGUCGCUACUAUCGAUUGAGCGGUUCAGUGAGGGCCUCGGAUUGGUCUCGGUCUGGCGUGCAAGCGCCGGCACCGUUGGCCGAGAAGACGCUCGAACUCGAUCGCUUGGAGAAAGUAAAAGUCGUAACAAGGUUUCCGUAGGUGAACCUGCGGAAGGAUCAUUA
RNAcentral lists this ribosomal RNA (188 nucleotides) under Biomphalaria glabrata. RNAcentral describes it as "partial 18S ribosomal RNA". It matches the Rfam family "Eukaryotic small subunit ribosomal RNA", at positions 1650 to 1831 of the family's 1831-position model. Lineage: Eukaryota; Metazoa; Mollusca; Gastropoda; Planorbidae. RNAcentral also lists the same sequence under 24 other names. The record is from RNAcentral.